This 520-nucleotide unclassified non-coding RNA is filed under the name uncultured Entrophospora. Its description in RNAcentral is "SSU rRNA". It matches the Rfam family "Eukaryotic small subunit ribosomal RNA", at positions 569 to 1085 of the family's 1831-position model. The record is from RNAcentral. Lineage: Eukaryota; Fungi; Glomeromycota; Glomeromycetes; Entrophosporales; Entrophosporaceae.
AGCAGCCGCGGUAAUUCCAGCUCCAAUAGCGUAUAUUAAAGUUGUUGCAGUUAAAAAGCUCGUAGUUGAAUUUCGGGAUUGGCGCAUCGGUCGUGCCUCACGGGGUAUGAACUGGUGCAGUCAAUUUCUCACCUUCUGGAGAACCGCGAUGUCCUUAAUUGGAUGCCGCGGGGAACCAGGACCUUUACUUUGAAAAAUUAGAGUGUUUAAAGCAGGCAUUUUUGCUUGAAUACAUUAGCAUGGAAUAAUAAAAUAGGACGGCAUGGUUCUAUUUUGUUGGUUUCUAGGACCACCGUAAUGAUUAAUAGGGAUAGUUGGGGGCAUUAGUAUUCAAUUGUCAGAGGUGAAAUUCUUGGAUUUAUUGAAGACUAACUACUGCGAAAGCAUUUGCCAAGGAUGUUUUCAUUAAUCAAGAACGAAAGUUAGGGGAUCGAAGACGAUCAGAUACCGUCGUAGUCUUAACCAUAAACUAUGCCGACUAGGAAUCAGACGAUGUUAAUUUUUAAUGACUCGUUUAGGC